GUGUGCUGGUGGUGUGUUGCCACAGGUUUGUGUAUGCGCCUAGUGCAGUUGGGAGUCAUAGACUCUUAAACUGCCGCUGGAUAGCUUAUAUUCAUAGGUGAAAAGAAAGCCGAGUGCGUAAGUCUUUCCUGCCAGUACAUAGCCUCUACACUAACAAGACUUCUACAGUGCCUCCCCGCGACAGCACACGGUAACUAGGACCUUGUGUCCUAGGCCUUACUGUAGAGGAUCUCGGAGUAGCAAGGACCCUAGAGAUGAAGUGUGUAGGCCCACCGGCGUGUGGAUACGCCCUAGCACUCAUCAACCUUGCCCCAGUUAUGGGUUAAUAGCCGGCUAGAUGAAAGUCGUCAGCCUUGAAAGGCAAUUCAUAUAGGAGAAGAAAACUCUGAUAUAAAAUACCGGGUAGAUUUGACUCGUCAGCCUUGGUCGGCAAUGGAUCUAUAGGAAAGAAACCUUGAGUAAAGAUUCUCUGGUUCUCCAGGUUGGGGAUUGAGCGUUAGGCCAACAACCUAUCCUUGUAAAAAA
Molecule: long non-coding RNA, 525 nt
Filed under: Mytilus galloprovincialis (Mediterranean mussel)
Lineage: Eukaryota; Metazoa; Mollusca; Bivalvia; Mytilida; Mytilidae
Source: RNAcentral